GCUCAUGUAGCUCAGAGGUAGAGCGCGUCCUUGGUAAGGACGAGGUCGCGGGUUCAAUUCCCGCCAUGAGCU
RNAcentral lists this transfer RNA (72 nucleotides) under Roseibacillus sp. RNAcentral's name for it is "tRNA-Thr". It matches the Rfam family "tRNA". From Rfam's summary of the family: Transfer RNA (tRNA) molecules are approximately 80 nucleotides in length. Their secondary structure includes four short double-helical elements and three loops (D, anti-codon, and T loops). The record is from RNAcentral. Lineage: Bacteria; Pseudomonadati; Verrucomicrobiota; Verrucomicrobiia; Verrucomicrobiales; Verrucomicrobiaceae. RNAcentral also lists the same sequence under 2 other names.